CGUCAUAUUUUUCUCCUGAUUUUCCCACUGGGUUUUUAUAGGAGUUUUAGCGACAUAUCUCUUAAUAUGGCUCCUCACAUUUUUCCUAAACGGUUUUUAGAGGAGUUAUCUUUAUGUCGUAUCUCCAAUAUUUUUCCCCACUGGGGUUUUUAAUUGGAAUACCAAUGACAUAGUGGUUUGUUUAAAUCACACAAAUAUAUGCUACCUUCUCCUUGUUUUCCUAUAAAG
This 228-nucleotide long non-coding RNA is filed under the name Sorghum bicolor (sorghum). RNAcentral's name for it is "long non-coding RNA (SBIC_LNC001889)". The record is from RNAcentral. Lineage: Eukaryota; Viridiplantae; Streptophyta; Magnoliopsida; Poales; Poaceae.